Molecule: long non-coding RNA, 1078 nt
Organism: Drosophila miranda
Lineage: Eukaryota; Metazoa; Arthropoda; Insecta; Diptera; Drosophilidae
Exons: 2
Source: RefSeq, a predicted model, not a curated record
AUUGUGGAUAACAUUUUUACAUUCUGCAAGAUUUAUUCGUUUUCAAAACGAAAACAUUUUCGUUGACGAAAUGAAAAGUAAACGGCAUUUUAUACCCUAUAUCAGGGUAAUUUAACUUUUGCUUUCUUUAUAAAUAAUUUUAUUUCAACCCAACCUCAAAUUUGGCUCGGAAAAAAUUGGCCAGGGCAAUACAAAUUUUCGUUUUGGUGCAAUCAGCAAACAUUUGUGAAAACUGGAGAGCCUUAAAACGAAACGUUUUAGCUGAACACGUAAUCCGCAAACAAUUUUUCAAAAAGGGAUGUUAAACAUGUCCUACCUAGUCCAACCCUGAAGCCUGUCGUAUUUCGUAGGAGUAGUUUGUUACCGUACUGCAACAAAAUGGAUUAUAUGCAGGUCAGUAGAACUCCCUGUACUAUCAUAUUCAAAGAAAAGUCAUUAAGGACGAAGAAGGCACGCUGCAGAUCUUGCAGUAUCCGAAGGAGAAACAUCAAUUUAUUGAUUCAAGGGAAAGCCUGGCCACAUGGCGGUAUUUGUAGGCAAAUAUGACUUCUCAUUUGUUUUAAGAGUAGUAUCCUUCUGCCCAGAAAAGGCUAAAUUAAUUCGCAAUGCUGUACGGCGAGGCGUUAGUCCUGCGUUUCAAAGCAAUGAUCAGUAUUGCGAAAUAAAGGAUUAAUCAAAGCGGAAAAAUUCAAAGUCUUCUAGCUCACACUGCUAAAAGAAUUGUUUGCAUACAAGAUGAAGUUAUUUUAUAUGUAAUGCUAGAGCAAGGCGUGCAUUUUUUGGCUGCAGAUUUGACUUUGAGUUAUGGUUUUGAUGGUAGCUCAGGCCAAUCCUCAAUCUAUUAGACUUGCGGUAAAACCAUCAGAUUUCAUUUCCAAUAUUUCCAAUAUGAAACUUUGCUCAAAUUUAAAAACAAUGAAAAUACCAAUUAAGCCUUCCACACUGCUGGAUUCGCAUGUUUAAAUUUAUUUUGAUCGCCGGAUACAAAGCAGUCUUAAAAACUUGAGGAUUGUGUUAAUAAGUCAUUCAUGCUAAUUGCCGAUAAGUGUUGAAAAAUUUAAGCAAUUCUACCAUAAAA